This 490-nucleotide ribosomal RNA is filed under the name uncultured bacterium. RNAcentral describes it as "partial 16S ribosomal RNA". It matches the Rfam family "Bacterial small subunit ribosomal RNA", at positions 29 to 505 of the family's 1533-position model. The record is from RNAcentral.
AGUGAACGCUGGCGGUAGGCCUAACACAUGCAAGUCGAACGGCAGCACAGUAAGAGCUUGCUCUUACGGGUGGCGAGUGGCGGACGGGUGAGGAAUACAUCGGAAUCUACUUUUUCGUGGGGGAUAACGUAGGGAAACUUACGCUAAUACCGCAUACGACCUACGGGUGAAAGCAGGGGAUCUUCGGACCUUGCGCGAUUGAAUGAGCCGAUGUCGGAUUAGCUAGUUGGCGGGGUAAAGGCCCACCAAGGCGACGAUCCGUAGCUGGUCUGAGAGGAUGAUCAGCCACACUGGAACUGAGACACGGUCCAGACUCCUACGGGAGGCAGCAGUGGGGAAUAUUGGAAAAUGGGCGCAAGCCUGAUCCAGCCAUACCGCGUGGGUGAAGAAGGCCUUCGGGUUGGAAAGCCCUUUUGUUGGGAAAGAAAAGCAGCAGGUUAAUACCCCGCUGUUCUGACGGUACCCAAAGAAUAAGCACCGGCUAACUUCG